AUCUAUAAAUAAUAGUAAACGUAGCAAAGAACAACAUCAAAAUACAACACAAAAACAUGAUGAAAUUUCUCUCAACUUUCUUGAUCCUCUUCUCCCUUCUCUUGAUUGUGAGCAGUAAUGAAGCAAGAAGCAUUCCCGAUGAAUAUUGGAGAAGCAUAAUGAAUGAUGAACCCAUGCCAAAGGCGAUUCAAGAUGUUUUGCCCCUUGAAGAUGUUAACAAAGUAAAUAAGGAUCAGUUCGUACGGAAUUUCGAUUUAAAACCGAAUCUCAUAAUCUAUCACUCUCAUGUGAUGUAUAGCCAAAAAAAUCAUCACAUAGUUUCAUCAUCUUCAUCAACGUCGUCUUCUUCUUCUUUUUCUAACGAGUUGAAUUAAUGAGUAGAAACAUUAAUGUAUCGGUGAGAGAAAAGUCAAAUCUUGGUUGUCAAGUAUGUAUGGAUUGUAGCUUUAUUGGUAUUAGAUGUGAUGGGGUUAUUAUUGUUCAUAAAUAGUGAAAGUUUAGUACUUUUUGGAAGCA
Long non-coding RNA from Cynara cardunculus var. scolymus (artichoke), 516 nucleotides. RefSeq lists it as uncharacterized. NCBI's taxonomy places the organism in Eukaryota, Viridiplantae, Streptophyta, Magnoliopsida, Asterales, Asteraceae. The record is from RefSeq and is a predicted model, not a curated record. The transcript is spliced from 2 exons.